Molecule: ribosomal RNA, 1568 nt
Filed under: Salmonella enterica subsp. enterica serovar Durham
Lineage: Bacteria; Pseudomonadati; Pseudomonadota; Gammaproteobacteria; Enterobacterales; Enterobacteriaceae
Description: partial 23S ribosomal RNA
Rfam family: Bacterial large subunit ribosomal RNA
Source: RNAcentral
CGCAGGGAAACCGAGUCUUAAUUGGGCGUUAAGUUGCAGGGUAUAGACCCGAAACCCGGUGAUCUAGCCAUGGGCAGGUUGAAGGUUGGGUAACACUAACUGGAGGACCGAACCGACUAAUGUUGAAAAAUUAGCGGAUGACCUGUGGCUGGGGGUGAAAGGCCAAUCAAACCGGGAGAUAGCUGGUUCUCCCCGAAAGCUAUUUAGGUAGCGCCUCGUGAAUUCAUCUCCGGGGGUAGAGCACUGUUUCGGCUAGGGGGCCAUCCCGGCUUACCAACCCGAUGCAAACUGCGAAUACCGGAGAAUGUUAUCACGGGAGACACACGGCGGGUGCUAACGUCCGUCGUGAAGAGGGAAACAACCCAGACCGCCAGCUAAGGUCCCAAAGUCAUGGUUAAGUGGGAAACGAUGUGGGAAGGCCCAGACAGCCAGGAUGUUGGCUUAGAAGCAGCCAUCAUUUAAAGAAAGCGUAAUAGCUCACUGGUCGAGUCGGCCUGCGCGGAAGAUGUAACGGGGCUAAACCAUGCACCGAAGCUGCGGCAGCGACGCUGAUGCGUUGUUGGGUAGGGGAGCGUUCUGUAAGCCUGCGAAGGUGGCCUGUGAGGGUUGCUGGAGGUAUCAGAAGUGCGAAUGCUGACAUAAGUAACGAUAAAGCGGGUGAAAAGCCCGCUCGCCGGAAGACCAAGGGUUCCUGUCCAACGUUAAUCGGGGCAGGGUGAGUCGACCCCUAAGGCGAGGCCGAAAGGCGUAGUCGAUGGGAAACGGGUUAAUAUUCCCGUACUUGGUGUUACUGCGAAGGGGGGACGGAGAAGGCUAUGUUGGCCGGGCGACGGUUGUCCCGGUUUAAGCGUGUAGGUGUGUGUUCCAGGUAAAUCCGGUUCACUUUAACACUGAGGCGUGACGACGAGGCACUACGGUGCUGAAGCAACAAAUGCCCUGCUUCCAGGAAAAGCCUCUAAGCAUCAGGUAACAUCAAAUCGUACCCCAAACCGACACAGGUGGUCAGGUAGAGAAUACCAAGGCGCUUGAGAGAACUCGGGUGAAGGAACUAGGCAAAAUGGUGCCGUAACUUCGGGAGAAGGCACGCUGACACGUAGGUGAAGUGAUUUACUCAUGGAGCUGAAGUCAGUCGAAGAUACCAGCUGGCUGCAACUGUUUAUUAAAAACACAGCACUGUGCAAACACGAAAGUGGACGUAUACGGUGUGACGCCUGCCCGGUGCCGGAAGGUUAAUUGAUGGGGUCAGCGCAAGCGAAGCUCCUGAUCGAAGCCCCGGUAAACGGCGGCCGUAACUAUAACGGUCCUAAGGUAGCGAAAUUCCUUGUCGGGUAAGUUCCGACCUGCACGAAUGGCGUAAUGAUGGCCAGGCUGUCUCCACCCGAGACUCAGUGAAAUUGAACUCGCUGUGAAGAUGCAGUGUACCCGCGGCAAGACGGAAAGACCCCGUGAACCUUUACUAUAGCUUGACACUGAACAUUGAGCCUUGAUGUGUAGGAUAGGUGGGAGGCUUUGAAGUGUGGACGCCAGUCUGCAUGGAGCCGACCUUGAAAUACCACCCUUUAAUGUUU